GGGGACGACAUUGGUUUCGACUGUUGUUGACUUGGAUUCAGUGGCAUGCAGAGGUGAGGGUCCUACUUAAUAACCUUCAACUUUAAUAACCGCUAACAACGAAUUAGCCCUAGCAGCUUAAGAACCUGCUACGAGACUUAACUCUGUUUCCUUUGGUGGACUAAGUCUCGCAACUCUCAAAGGAUUCUAAUGGAAGUUCAUCAGGUUGGUCCAUUGGAAAACAUCAAUCCGAGUAAGGAAGGAAUACCCGGUCAUUGGUUCCACCUUCCCGACAAUUCAGAAUGACAUAAGCAUGUAGAGGCUGUUUUUGAGAAUAAUAGGACCUGGGUUCGAAUCCCAGCGUCUCCAUUU
RNAcentral lists this transfer-messenger RNA (351 nucleotides) under Leptospiraceae. RNAcentral's name for it is "GCA-2786225 sp022402465 Standard tmRNA". It matches the Rfam family "transfer-messenger RNA". Rfam says of the family: Bacterial tmRNA, also known as 10Sa RNA or SsrA, is named for its dual tRNA and mRNA-like properties. Its role is to liberate the mRNA from a stalled ribosome. To accomplish this part of the tmRNA is used as a reading frame that ends in a translation stop signal. RNAcentral also lists the same sequence under 2 other names. Lineage: Bacteria; Pseudomonadati; Spirochaetota; Leptospiria; Leptospirales. The record is from RNAcentral.